Molecule: transfer RNA, 75 nt
Filed under: Flavobacteriaceae bacterium
Lineage: Bacteria; Pseudomonadati; Bacteroidota; Flavobacteriia; Flavobacteriales; Flavobacteriaceae
Description: tRNA-Arg
Rfam family: tRNA
About the family: Transfer RNA (tRNA) molecules are approximately 80 nucleotides in length.
Source: RNAcentral
GGCCCUAUAGUUCAACGGAUAGAACGAGCGUUUCCUAAACGCUAAAUCCAAGUUCGAUUCUUGGUGGGGCCACGA